Peromyscus maniculatus bairdii (prairie deer mouse) is the source of this 1327-nucleotide non-coding RNA. The record is from RefSeq and is a predicted model, not a curated record. NCBI's taxonomy places the organism in Eukaryota, Metazoa, Chordata, Mammalia, Rodentia, Cricetidae.
GCCAUUAAAGCGAGGAGGAGGAGGGCCAUUCAAACUCCUCCCCACGACACACUGAAGCAGCGACGGCACAGCGGGAAGAAUGGAAAAUGUUUAUAGGAGGCCUUAGCUGGGACACUACAAAGAAAGAUCUGAAGGACUACUUUUCCAAAUUUGGUGAAGUUGUAGACUGCACUCUGAAGUUAGAUCCUAUCACAGGGCGAUCAAGGGGUUUUGGCUUUGUGCUAUUUAAAGAGUCGGAGAGUGUAGAUAAGGUCAUGGAUCAGAAAGAACAUAAAUUGAAUGGGAAAGUCAUUGAUCCUAAAAGGGCCAAAGCCAUGAAAACAAAAGAGCCCGUCAAAAAAAUUUUUGUUGGUGGCCUUUCUCCAGAUACACCCGAAGAGAAAAUAAGAGAGUACUUUGGUGGUUUUGGUGAGGUUGAAUCCAUAGAGCUCCCCAUGGACAACAAGACCAAUAAGAGGCGUGGAUUCUGUUUUAUUACCUUUAAGGAAGAGGAACCAGUGAAGAAGAUAAUGGAAAAGAAAUACCACAAUGUUGGUCUUAGUAAAUGUGAAAUAAAAGUAGCCAUGUCGAAGGAGCAGUAUCAGCAACAGCAGCAGUGGGGGUCUAGAGGAGGGUUUGCAGGAAGAGCUCGUGGAAGAGGUGGUGGCCCCAGUCAAAACUGGAACCAGGGAUAUAGUAACUAUUGGAAUCAAGGCUAUGGCAACUAUGGAUAUAACAGCCAAGGUUACGGUGGUUAUGGAGGAUAUGACUACACUGGUUACAACAACUACUAUGGAUAUGGUGAUUAUAGCAAUCAGCAGAGUGGUUAUGGGAAAGUAUCCAGGCGAGGUGGUCAUCAAAAUAGCUACAAACCAUACUAAAUUAUUCCAUUUGCAACUUAUCCCCAACAGCGGGAACUUCAUUGCAGGCCCUGUGUCGCGCUGACUUCACGAUUCUCACAGGCCCGCUCAAUGCGGACAGGGUACGAGAUGCUCACGCUCUCGAAUGCUGCCGUUUGGUGGUGAAGCAGUAUUUUCCAAUUUGAAGAUUCAUUUGAAGGUGGCUCCUGCCACCUGCUAAUAGCAGUUCAAACUAAAUUUUUUCUAUCAAGUUCCCGAAUGGAAGUAUGACGUUGGGUCCCUCUGAAGUUUAAUUCUGAGUUCUCAUUAAAAGAAUUUGCUUUCAUUGUUUUAUUUCUUAAUUGCUAUGCUACAGUAUCAAUUUGUGUUUUAUGCCCUCCCCAACCCCCCAGUAUUGUAGAGCAAGUCUUGUGUUAAAAGCCCAGUGUGACAGUGUCAUGAUGUAGUAGUGUCUUACUGGUUUUUUAAUAAAUCCUUUUGUAUAAAAA